GAUGAACGCUGACAGAAUGCUUAACGCAUGCAAGUCUUUGGCGAAGCUGUGCUUGCACAGCCUAGCCAAGGCGGACGGGUGAGUAACGCGUAAGGAACUUGCCCUGCAGUCAGGGAUAACAGACGGAAACGACUGAUAAGACCUGGUAAAGUCAGGCGGACUCAUGUCCAGCCUGAUGAAAAGAGAUGCUGCAGGAGAGCCUUGCGCCCUAUUAGCUUGUUGGUGGGGUAACGGCCCACCAAGGCGAUGAUAGGUAGCCGGCCUGAGAGGGUGGACGGCCACAAGGGGACUGAGAUACGGCCCUUACUCCUACGGGAGGCAGCAGUGGGGAAUAUUGGACAAUGGGGGCAACCCUGAUCCAGCAAUUCUGUGUGCACGAUGAAGGUUUUCGGAUUGUAAAGUGCUUUCAGCAGGGAAGAAAAAAAUGACGGUACCUGCAGAAGAAGCGACGGCUAAAUACGUG
RNAcentral lists this ribosomal RNA (463 nucleotides) under uncultured bacterium. RNAcentral describes it as "partial 16S ribosomal RNA". It matches the Rfam family "Bacterial small subunit ribosomal RNA", at positions 28 to 507 of the family's 1533-position model. The record is from RNAcentral.